UACGGGGGGGGCAAGCGUUGUUCGGAAUUACUGGGCGUAAAGGGCUCGUAGGCGGCCAACUAAGUCCGACGUGAAAUCCCCAGGCUUAACCUGGGAACUGCGUCGGAUACUGGAUGGCUUGAAUUCGGGAGAGGGAUGCAGAAUUCCAGGUGUAGCGGUGAAAUGCGUAGAUAUCUGGAGGAAUACCGGUGGCGAAGGCGGCAUCCUGGACCGACAUUGACGCUGAAGCGCGAAAGCUAGGGGAGCGAACGGG
This 253-nucleotide ribosomal RNA is filed under the name uncultured bacterium. RNAcentral describes it as "partial 16S ribosomal RNA". It matches the Rfam family "Bacterial small subunit ribosomal RNA", at positions 524 to 776 of the family's 1533-position model. The record is from RNAcentral.